CAAUAGCGUAUAUUAAAGUUGUUGCAGUUAAAAAGCUCGUAGUUGGAUUUGUGGCGUACGGUGUGUUCCGGGCACUUGUUGUCUGAGUAACCUGCUGUUGCCAUCCUUGGGUGGAACCUGUGUGGCAUUAGGUUGUCGUGCAGGGGAUGCCCAUCAUUUACUGUGAAAAAAUUAGAGUGUUCAAAGCAGGCUUAUGCCGUUGAAUAUAUUAGCAUGGAAUAAUGAGAUAGGACUUUUUUGCUAUUUUGUUGGUUUGCGCAAGAAGGUAAUGAUUAAUAGGGGCAGUUGGGGGUAUUCGUAUUCCAUUGUCAGAGGUGAAAUUCUUGGAUUUUUGGAAGACGAACUACUGCGAAAGCAUUUACCAAGGAUGUUUUCAUUAA
This 380-nucleotide ribosomal RNA is filed under the name uncultured eukaryote. RNAcentral describes it as "partial 18S ribosomal RNA". It matches the Rfam family "Eukaryotic small subunit ribosomal RNA", at positions 592 to 976 of the family's 1831-position model. The record is from RNAcentral.